GAUGAACGCUGGCGGCGUGCCUAAUACAUGCAAGUCGAGCGAACGGACGAGAAGCUUGCUUUUCUGAUGUUAGCGGCGGACGGGUGAGUAACACGUGGAUAACCUACCUAUAAGACUGGGAUAACUUCGGGAAACCGGAGCUAAUACCGGCUAAUAUUUUGAACCGCAUGGUUCAAAAGUGAAAGACGGUCUUGCUGUCACUUAUAGAUGGAUCCGCGCUGCAUUAGCUAGUUGGUAAGGUAACGGCUUACCAAGGCAACGAUGCAUAGCCGACCUGAGAGGGUGAUCAGCCACACUGGAACUGAGACACGGUCCAGACUCCUACGGGAGGCAGCAGUAGGGAAUCUUCCGCAAUGGGCGAAAGCCUGACGGAGCAACACCGCGUGAGUGAUGAAGGUCUUCGGAUCGUAAAACUCUGUUAUUAGGGAAGAACAUAUGUGUAAGUAACUGUGCACAUCUUGACGGUACCUAAUCAGAAAGCCACGGCUAACUACGUG
Molecule: ribosomal RNA, 497 nt
Filed under: uncultured bacterium
Lineage: Bacteria
Description: partial 16S ribosomal RNA
Rfam family: Bacterial small subunit ribosomal RNA
Source: RNAcentral